CCGCGGGAGGGCCGCCGGAGCCCGCGCCCCGCCCCGGCCCGCCCCGGCCCCGCCCCGGCCCGCCCCGGCCCCGCCCCGGCCCGCCCCGGCCCGGCCCCGCCCCGCCCCGGCCCCGCCCCCCGCGGCCAGCCGCGGCUGCCUGGAGCCCCCCGGCCAGCGGCCGGCCGCUGGGGCCGAGUAUUGUCUCAAAGGCCGAAAAGACAGGAAAGCGGGGACACUGGGGGACAGCCACGUGACCAGGAGAGGAUUUAUAAUAUUUUCCUUCGCUGUCGACAAUAUUGCAAAAUGUACGAAAGGGACCGCACGGCCGCGACCGGAGCGUGACGGCGCGGGCAAGACAGGUUCCCGGAGCGCCCGCGCUGUGCCCGCCGGAGCCCGGGUCUCUCCAGCUCGCCGGGGCGGAAUCCGAGGGCAGAGGCCGGCUUACCGACACGACACGCGCCGAGGGGACCCAAACCCGGUCCGGUCCGAGCCCGCAGCCCGGCUCCUUCUCUCCUUCCACUUCCGCCUCAGUGAGGAGAAAGGCGUGGGGGUGGGGGUGCAGAUGGGACUUGCGGGUGGGCUGUAGGGAGGAGGGGGACGCCCGGAUCUGCCUCCGCUGCCCCUCGGCACAGGGGAGGGAGCCCACCGGGCAGGGGAGGCCAGUCCCCGCCCACUGCUCCCCGGAGGUGCCCAGAGACCUGUGUGACUACCGCCUGGAGGGAAAGGAAGACACCCAAACCCAGAUUCUGCCAAGGCAGGAGGGGGCCCACACGAGGGAUACCUGCCCACCCAGUCUGGCUCUCGGGGUGGCCCAGUCUCGUCUCCUACUACUCCCUGUGCCUUUGCCAUUCUUACUCCUACAUCCCCCUGGUCUCUCUGAUUCCUGCACCACAGGUCCUUUGCACAUGUGUUUUAAUUUUAAGAUUUAUUUAUUUAUCCAUGAGAGACAGAGACAGAGAGAGAGGCAGAGACACAGGCAGAGGGAGAAGCAGGCUCCUCGCAGGGAGUCUGAUGCGGGACUUGAUCCCGGAUUCCGGGAUCAUGACCUGAGCUGAAGGCAAGCACCCAACCCCUGAGCCACCCAGGUGUCCCUGUUGUGUAUGUUUUUGGAUCAAGAAGUAGUCAUCAAACAUCCCAGGCACAGGCAACUCAGUGGUGGACAAGGCCGACCUCUCUGGGUCUUCCACACUGGUAGAGGGACAUAGAUGAAUAGUCCAGAAGGGAAUGGGACAUGGGAAUGGGAGGCAAGCAUGGGUGGGCAUGAGGGAAGGCUUCUCCAGAGAGGUGAUAGUGAGUCACAGGGAUUCAUGCCAUCCUCGGCCUUUGGGCCUCAGUCACCUCCUCCAGGAAGCCUUCCCUGACCUCACACGAUCUGACAUUUCCCCCUGACCAUGACCCUCCUUCCACGGGUAUUUUUAAGUCAUUAUUGGGUUAAUGUUUGUUUCCCUCCCUCACAUAGAAGUGCCAGGAAGGCAGGACCUGAAUCUCUUUUUGGGUAGACAGUAGGCAAAUCGAAUAAAGGAUGGGUAGAUUUCCCCCAGAAAAAUGUGAGCUGCUCAGCCAGGUCAGGCAUCCAGAUGGCAGCAACUUUUCUCUCUCCUUCCCUGGACCGAGUCCUGGGCUCCACACCCCAUUUGCCGUUCACAGAAACAAAGUAAAAGAAACCAGCAGGCCUGGUGAGGAAGAGAGCGGGGCGAGGCCUGGCACAAAUGGCCCACUGAAGCUCCAGGGCAGUUCCCCUGGAAGGGAAGGGAUCUGCGGGGAGGGGGGAGGCCUGAGCACAGGUGCCUGUCCUGUUUCCUGAGCUCAGACCAACCUUGGCCUCAGUCCAGCCUCGGAGCCAGCUCUUGGAGGCUUGCUUGCCUUCAGAUGCUACUCUGGAGAAGGUGGUGGCCAGCCGGGUCCCCAGGAUGGCCAUGGUACGGGGCCACAGUCACUGCCUGGUCUCCCCUGGCCCUCCCCCAGCCCAGAGCGGACAGGAACCCGGGCAGCACCGGCCUGACCCAGAAUCCGGCCCCUGUGCCACAAAUAGCUGCCCGGGUUCCCCGCAGUUCAUUUAAAGUCCUGUCUUGCAGCCAGGACUCGGGCUUACAGGGGCCGACUCUUCUUAUUUUUUGUAGUUUCCACGCUCAGUGAAUUUCUCCCUCCCCUGGCUCUGUCAGACCUGUGUGCCUGGCACCUUUCCUGUGGCAGAUUAUGCUCUCACAGAUGCCCGACAAAGCUUUUAGCUUCCCCCCCUCCCUCUCCACUUCAGGGGAUUGAGCCUCCAUGCACAGCUAGAGAGAGCGUCUGCAGGCUUUAUUCAGGCUCUGGCAGGGACAGAAUAAAAGCGGCCUCCCCACCCACCCAGCCAGCCAGCCCUCCUGACUGGAAUUGCUUUAAAAAAUUAAUUUGCCAUGAUUUAUGUCCUUCUGUUCUGUGGGGAUCACCAGCAUUUUAAAUAUGUAUUUAAAUCAGAAUCACUGCUCCCGGUUAAACCUUAAACGCGGGCCCCCCCCACCCCCCCACCCGGCAGAAAGAGCACUGGAUUUGGAGUCAGCAGAAACUCAGAGGUUCAGGCCAAGUUCUGCUAAUGACAAGCUGUGUGACCCUGGGCAAAUUACUUAACCUCUCUGCGCCUCCAUUGGCUCCUCCGGUAAGUGAGGUUAAUGAUAAUCCUUCCCUCACAGGGGGUUGUGAGGAUUAAAUUAGAUAACGUUCAGGAAGAGCUGUGCAAUGCCAGGCCUGCGUUUUCUGUUCCCCGGUCCGGGGGUCCCGCUAAUUAGCCUGGUGACCUUGGGCGGGCCACUCAGCCACUCCUGGCCCUCAAUUUCCCCAUCUGAAAAGCAGGGGGGUUGUUCUAGGAGAUGAGGCCACAGAGCCCCCCACCUCCAUCCCUGAGCACCCCCCACCUCCUCCUGCCCUCCCCCAGACACCCUCCCCUUGGCGACCCUCUUUUUCAUCAUCCAAGCACUCGGUUCUAAUUGGAGGCGGCCCCCCUCCCUGGCUGCCUCUCCUCCUGGCUCCCUGCGAAGCCGAAGCCGCAGGGUUUGGGCCCCAGGGGCCUGCAGCUCUUGGCUCAUUUUCAGGAGCAAUUAGCCGUGAUGUCACAGGCCUCCGUGGUGGCCUCAGUGGGCGUGUGUGCCUGGAAGCCUGGACUCCGCUCCGUCUGUGGCCUCUGGGACUCCCCCAGGCCAGGGGUCCCCACUGCUGGUUGCAGAGAGGCAGCUUCCCAGGCAAAGCCAUUUCUGUACUUUAUGACUCCGUGAAGCCCCGAGCCUCAGCGUAAAUUAGUUCUACCCUGUGCUUUUGUUGGCACUGUCUGUUCCUUGGAAGCGAGGGGCUUUGUCAGGAAGAACAAAGCUGUUUGGUGUUUUUCUGAUUUGGGGGAAGCGUGCUCCUCGGGCGGGGGGGGGGGGGGGGGGGGGGAGGCUCAUCGCUUCUCAGUGUCAGUCUGGAGUCCUUGAUUCUCAGACUCACUGGUUUUGUUUUGGGUUUUUAAGUCCUAUGGCUUAAGAGUCACAUAUGUUUGUGUGAGUGUUGGCUAGGGGAUUUCUUUCCUCCUUUUUGGCUUAUAUAGUGUAUUCUGUGGAAGCUAAUUCCAGGGACUGAACUUUUCAAAUCACUGCUUCAACAGCUUUUAAAAAUCUGGACCUAGUUACUCCUGUCAUCCAUGUGUAAAGAUUUAGAAAGAAAAAAAAAUUCCCAACCCGAGGGUGGGCAGCCUUGAGGAUGUACAGCUCCUGGCAGCUCGCACUCGCUGUAGACCUGAGGUCAAAGCUGAAAUGUCGGGUGCCUCUUGGGAUGGGAGGUAGGGGGGAGCGUGGUCUGCUCGGUGCCAGACAUCUGGAUAUUUAGAAAACAUCUGGGUGGCUGGAUUUUUCAGGUUUCUGCCUGACAUUAAAUAUCACAAACAUUGAGCCUGCCUCCAGUCCCCCACCUCCCCAACACACCCAGCCCCUUCCCCCCCUUUCCUGAUGGGUAAGAAACAUCCAUUCUUUCCAAUUCCCCAGCGUUUCCCCCCUACCGGAAAUCUGAUGGGCUUAUGACAUCAUGGCUGGCUGCUGAGCGAUGAAGUGGAUGCCACAAAGAAAUCCGACAUAUCAGAUGGAUUCUGAAAUCAGUUUCCCUCUGGCUGUAGUAACAGGCGUGAAGUCAGGAGAAUGUGAGCUUUGUUUAAAAAAACAAAAAAAUAUAACUAAGCCUCGUCCUGUGUUAAAUACAGUUUUUUUUUUUUUUUUUUAAGCAAACACACCUUUUGGACAUCAUCCUAUUUUAAUAGACAUGCUGGUUUUUAUGAAAUGAAAGCGUCUAAUAAAUCAGACCUGAUGCUGCAUUUGAACGUUGUUCCCUUUCGGUUGAGUUUUUGUGUGUCCUUAUUCACUAAUAAAGGAGGAACUAGGAAUUGUUUAUCUCCCUUCGUUAUUCAAAUGGGGUGGCUUUUUGUUUGUUUGUUUGGUUUAGUUUUUGUUUUUGUUUUUGUUUUUGUUUUUGAGGCCAAUAAAAUUCACGGGGUAAAUUGCUGGGUUAUAUGUUUCCAGGAAUCCAUUUUUAUAGAGUGACCUUGGACCUGACCUCGUCU
Molecule: long non-coding RNA, 4543 nt
Filed under: Canis lupus familiaris (dog)
Lineage: Eukaryota; Metazoa; Chordata; Mammalia; Carnivora; Canidae
Description: lncRNA (ENSCAFG00845014849.1)
Source: RNAcentral